RNAcentral lists this ribosomal RNA (494 nucleotides) under uncultured bacterium. Its description in RNAcentral is "bacterial SSU rRNA". It matches the Rfam family "Bacterial small subunit ribosomal RNA", at positions 26 to 518 of the family's 1533-position model. The record is from RNAcentral.
AGGACGAACGCUGGCGGCGUGCCUAAUACAUGCAAGUCGAACGGUCUUUUCUAUGGAAGCUUGCUUCCACUGAGAAGAUAGUGGCGAACGGGUGAGUAACACGUGGGUAACCUGCCCAUAAGAGGGGGAUAACAUCCGGAAACGGGUGCUAAUACCGCAUAGUUUUCUUGAUCGCAUGAUUGAGAAAGGAAAGACGGCCUUUGUGCUGUCGCUUAUGGAUGGACCCGCGGCGUAUUAGUUAGUUGGUGAGGUAACGGCUCACCAAGACGAUGAUACGUAGCCGACCUGAGAGGGUGAUCGGCCACAUUGGGACUGAGACACGGCCCAAACUCCUACGGGAGGCAGCAGUAGGGAAUCUUCCGCAAUGGACGAAAGUCUGACGGAGCAACGCCGCGUGAGUGAAGAAGGUUUUCGGAUCGUAAAACUCUGUCUUCAGGGACGAUAAUGACGGUACCUGAGGAGGAAGCCACGGCUAACUACGUGCCAGCCGCAGC